UACGGAGGAUGCAAGCGUUAUCCGGAUUUAUUGGGUUUAAAGGGUGCGCAGGUUGUUUGAUAAGUCAGUGGUGAAAGUCUGUCGCUUAACGGUAGGAUUGCCAUUGAUACUGUUAGACUUGAAUAUGGAUGAGGUAGGCGGAAUGUGUAGUGUAGCGGUGAAAUGCAUAGAUAUUACACAGAACACCGAUUGCGAAGGCAGCUUACUAAUCCAUCAUUGACGCUGAGGCACGAAAGCGUGGGUGAUCAAA
Molecule: ribosomal RNA, 250 nt
Filed under: uncultured prokaryote
Description: partial 16S ribosomal RNA
Rfam family: Bacterial small subunit ribosomal RNA
Source: RNAcentral